CUAGCCCCGAUUGACGCGACAUCCUUUUUUUGUAAGGGAAGAGUAAUGGCAAAAAAAGAUAUAGCAGAAAGCGGGAUUAAG
This 81-nucleotide small RNA is filed under the name Chryseobacterium gambrini. RNAcentral's name for it is "Flavo-1 RNA". It matches the Rfam family "Flavo-1 RNA". Lineage: Bacteria; Pseudomonadati; Bacteroidota; Flavobacteriia; Flavobacteriales; Weeksellaceae. The record is from RNAcentral.